GAUCAGUAUCAUUAUUAAGAAAUGAAUGUCACACCACUCACCAAUAUAUUUCGUGAUCCACAAACAAAUGUAAUAACAUUCGCAAAUAUAAUUCAUACAUUUCAUGAUCCACAAACAAAUGUAACAACAUUCACAAAUAUAAUUCAUGAUGCACAAAUGAAUGUAACCCCAUUCACAAAUGCCAGCGCAGUUCUAUUAAUUUGCAAACCGGUCUACAUAUAUUCGCAAGCCCUAUACAUAUUUGUGACUUCCAUUGUAUUUGUGUGUGGAUUUUUGAGACUGUCCUGACGGUAUUUGACACACAAAUGUGCUCAGCCAAUCACAUCAGCCGGCGUUCGAGCGUAAGGUUGAAGACAUUGCGCUUCUAUUACGCAGAGAAGGCUACUAGUGCUAAGCCACCAUAGAUCUGUAUAAAUAACUGGAAGUAGAGCCAUUACUGAAGUGCUCCCUGACGUAAACUCGGAAGCGUAUGAAGUUACUGACUUUCACAUCAUCUUUGUACAAAUAUGUCUGGAUCUGGACUAACGUGUGCCGUAAUCGGAUGUCACAAUAACAGCAGAAAGCUAAAAAUGUGGAAAAAGAGCGUAUGUGCGCUUCAUAGUCCACAGUUUAAAGAGGAUUGUCCUUGUUGUGUGCCCUACGGUGUACACCGCUUCCCCGGCCGUGCUGAGGAUGAAGACAUUCGCAAGAUGUGGAUUAAAAACGUACACCGAAAGGACUUUGCCCCCAAACAAGUAUUCAAGGGUGUGUGCGGAGUACACUUCCCUGACGGCAGACCAACGCAGGAACACCCAUAUCCCAUAAUAUGGGAUAUGAAUAUAGUAAAGCACCAUCAUGUGGAAGACCACCCCCAAAGAGAUGUCUCCAGCCCCCAACAGAGAGACUUGGAUUAAUGUUGAGAGGAUUAUUGUUCAAUACGGUGUAGAAACACUUGGUUCAGUUAUAUGUAUAUAUCUAUCAUCUUUCAAGAAAUCCUUCAUCCCCUCAGCUGUGACCAUACUGAACAAGAGAUGAACUGUCCAGCUGCAGCAUGCAUGUAUUGUGUGGUCUUGUCUUUUUUUUUUUUGGUCAAGCCUUGUCUAAUGUCUGUGAGAAUCACUGAAGCCACGCCAAAGACAAUUUUCUUUUUCAUGGGUGUAACAGACAAUUAAGUUUUAUCUAAUCUAAUCAUAUCAAUGAGAAUCAGUGCACCUGACAAAGGUAUGACAUACCGUAUACUGUAGGCUUAAAUGCUAAAGAAAAAUGAAUUAACCUGGCGGUUUUGAAUUGUUUAUUUACACAGUUAUUAAAAUGCAUACAGAUAGUGAAUUUAAUAUAGUUCAAUACUGUGUGCUUACUUGAUGGUGUUUUUUUUAUAUGUGCUGAACUGAAAAACAACCUAGCUACUUGUGCUCAAUAUCCAACUGCAGCAUUGUAGUUGCAGGUGGGGGGUGGUGGUUGUUCAAAUUUGACACACACCUUACAUUGGUCCACUUUACAAAUGGCCCCAUACACUAAAUGACUCUUGCUGGUGUGUUUUUUACUAGGCAACUUGUUAUUAAUCACUAAUGUUCUUAAUGUCAUUUCAAUGCAGCUCUUUGUGAGAAAUCUGGGCAGCCAUGGCCUAGUGCAGGGAUGUCAAACUCAGGCCCGGGGGCCAAAUCUGGCCCGCAGAGUCAUUUCAUUUGGCCCGUAAGAUCAUUUCAAAUGUGUAUUACAGUUGGCCCACAUACACCAUUAAUAUAUAGCAUAAGACCUGAACAUAAAAUGUAAUGUGUCAAAAAAAAUAUGAGUGGGCUGGGCAUAGGCCAGUAAAACAGCUCACACUACUGCAACAGAGUAUCUGCAGGCACAUUUGAACAACGAUGGGAAUCUGUUUGUGAAAUUUAAUUAUGAGAUUAAGUGUGUUUGCACAAUUUUAGGCCGUUGUAAAUAUUGAGUUUGGCCCGCGACUUUGUUCCAGAUUUGUAUUUUGGCCCUCUGUGAGUUUGAGUUUGACACCCCUGGCCUAGUGGUUAGAGAGUUGGUCUUUCAAUCUAGGGGUUGCUGGUUCGAAUCCCCCACGACCUCUCCCUACACCUCCAUCCAUGGCUGAAGUGCCCUUGAGCAAGUCACCUAACCCCACAUUACUCCAGGGACUGUAACCAAUACCCUGAAAAAUAAUAGUUGUAAGUCGCUUUGAACAAAUGAAAGCGUCAGCUAAGUGAAAUGUAAUGUAAUGUAAAAUCUUGCUGCAGUGUGUUGUGGAAUAGACACAGGAGCUGACCUGUGGUGUCCAGUCUUAACAGAGAGCUGGUGCCACUGUCACACAUUCAAUUUAAUUAAUCAUUAUCCCCCUUAUAUUGAUUGGGAAAUGUUAUACUGGCUUUUUUUCAUUACCUCCUGACUAUACCAGACAUCAUUUUUAUCAUUACCUCUGCCACAUAAUAUGUGAUUGAGUUUUGCAGUCUGUCUGUUUGUUCAUCGCUGGGUGCACAGCUUGCCACUAAGGGGCGCCAAAUCCUUACUUAUUGCUGGAGACGCUACCACAAGGAGAGGACGGGAGGUGAUGUCUUCUAAAAGGGCUGUGGUUAAGUAGCCUAAGCAAUCAGCUGGUGCAACCCACUGUCUUAACACUGCCUCAAAAUAUCAGUUCUUGCAAGGCACGAUUUACAUGGUGAAAUUAAUGACAUGUUGAGGCCAACAAGGCUUUAUUUUAUCAGUUAGAGGGACACUGUGCAGGAAAUGGUCAAAAAGGGUACUGCAACUAUGCUGCUCAUUGUAACUGGGUUGCCUAUUGCCAAAUUUGAUCUUUUCAUGAUAGUUUACUAAAUAAUAAACUCAGAUUUUCUGUUAUGGCCCAAGUACAGUCCUUUUUGCAGCUAAAAAUGGCUAUUUCUGGAAAUUCAAAAUGGCGGACAAUGAUGGAGGAGAUCCCCCUUUGUAUGUAUGAAAAGUGCAAUUUUUCCAGUCAUAAUGAAUACUUAGAAUUUGAUGGUGGUGGUAAGUAUUCAUGAAAAAGGUAACAUUAGUGAAUGAGUAGCAUGAAUUCUGGAAAUAAACAACUAUAAAUCUUGCAGUGUCCCUUUAAUGACAGAGGUUUUUUUUUAAAAAAAAAAAACACACACACACACACACACACCUUGCUUUCUGAUCAGGCCUAGCCUAGAGAGAGAGAGUUUCCCUAUUGCCAAGGCGGCCACCUUGACCUGAAAAGAUAAAGAUUCCCUGUUGUUAACGUAGGCCUAAUUUCUAAAGAUAGAUAUAGAUACAUAUGCAUGCCUGGUUUUAAAUUAACAACCGGUCAAAUGCUGGUGAUAAUUCAGGUUCUUAAUUCAUUCGGCAGUUAUAUUUUCUUUGUUUUGUUUUUACUUUGUUACAGUUUUUGCCUAGGCUACUGCUUAAACACUAAAGGCUGAUGACCAAAGUAGCAUAUUGUUCAGUUGUUGGUACUAUAACACAUGCUGCUUUACCUUAAUCAAAAGUCUAGCAUUACACUUUCAUACCAGCUUUGCAAAGCACUUGUUCCUUUACGCAACACACACACUCCGGCUGUCUGCACACCAUUUUAUACACAAGACACUUUGUUCAAAAGUAAAUUCUCAGAGUGUCAUUGUGAAAACACGUCUGUUAAAAAAAACAAAACGCACUGGAUGUAUGACGAGAUUUAGA
Engraulis encrasicolus (European anchovy) is the source of this 3630-nucleotide long non-coding RNA. RefSeq lists it as uncharacterized. The record is from RefSeq and is a predicted model, not a curated record. NCBI's taxonomy places the organism in Eukaryota, Metazoa, Chordata, Actinopteri, Clupeiformes, Engraulidae. The transcript is spliced from 3 exons.